AAUCGGACAUAGUACGAGAAGGUUGUAUGUCUAAAGGGAAACAGCCCCCCAGAACAAGAGUAAUAAGGUUCCUAAAUUAUUAUUAAGUGAAAUAAAGGAUAUAAAUAUAUAAUACAACCAGGAAAUAGGCUUAGAAGCGGUCAUUUUUUAAAGAUCUCGUAAUAGAGCACUGGUUAAUUUAUUCUUUAAUAUAUAGAUACCUAAAAUUUAACGGAUCUAAAUAAUAUACCGAAACCUUGUACAUAUUUAAAUUAAUUUAAAUAUGAGAUAGCGGAACAUUGGAUAAAAUAGUAGAGAUAUAAAUAAAUUAUAUUAUAUUUAAUUAAUCUAAGAAUCCAAGAGAGAAUGCUGACAUGAGUAACGAAAAAGGAUUAUAAAUAAUAUCCUCGCCUUAAGCUUAUGGUAUUUGA
Molecule: ribosomal RNA, 410 nt
Filed under: Paracoccidioides brasiliensis
Lineage: Eukaryota; Fungi; Ascomycota; Eurotiomycetes; Onygenales; Ajellomycetaceae
Description: LSU rRNA
Rfam family: Bacterial large subunit ribosomal RNA
Source: RNAcentral